RNAcentral lists this ribosomal RNA (1372 nucleotides) under uncultured bacterium. Its description in RNAcentral is "bacterial SSU rRNA". It matches the Rfam family "Bacterial small subunit ribosomal RNA", at positions 28 to 1381 of the family's 1533-position model. The record is from RNAcentral.
GAUGAACGCUGGCGGCGUGCCUAAUACAUGCAAGUCGAGCGAACGGACGAGAAGCUUGCUUCUCUGAUGUUAGCGGCGGACGGGUGAGUAACACGUGGAUAACCUACCUAUAAGACUGGGAUAACUUCGGGAAACCGGAGCUAAUACCGGAUAAUAUUUUGAACCGCAUGGUUCAAAAGUGAAAGACGGUCUUGCUGUCACUUAUAGAUGGAUCCGCGCUGCAUUAGCUAGUUGGUAAGGUAACGGCUUACCAAGGCAACGAUGCAUAGCCGACCUGAGAGGGUGAUCGGCCACACUGGAACUGAGACACGGUCCAGACUCCUACGGGAGGCAGCAGUAGGGAAUCUUCCGCAAUGGGCGAAAGCCUGACGGAGCAACGCCGCGUGAGUGAUGAAGGUCUUCGGAUCGUAAAACUCUGUUAUUAGGGAAGAACAUAUGUGUAAGUAACUGUGCACAUCUUGACGGUACCUAAUCAGAAAGCCACGGCUAACUACGUGCCAGCAGCCGCGGUAAUACGUAGGUGGCAAGCGUUAUCCGGAAUUAUUGGGCGUAAAGCGCGCGUAGGCGGUUUUUUAAGUCUGAUGUGAAAGCCCACGGCUCAACCGUGGAGGGUCAUUGGAAACUGGAAAACUUGAGUGCAGAAGAGGAAAGUGGAAUUCCAUGUGUAGCGGUGAAAUGCGCAGAGAUAUGGAGGAACACCAGUGGCGAAGGCGACUUUCUGGUCUGUAACUGACGCUGAUGUGCGAAAGCGUGGGGAUCAAACAGGAUUAGAUACCCUGAUAGUCCACGCCGUAAACGAUGAGUGCUAAGUGUUAGGGGGUUUCCGCCCCUUAGUGCUGCAGCUAACGCAUUAAGCACUCCGCCUGGGGAGUACGACCGCAAGGUUGAAACUCAAAGGAAUUGACGGGGACCCGCACAAGCGGUGGAGCAUGUGGUUUAAUUCGAAGCAACGCGAAGAACCUUACCAAAUCUUGACAUCCUUUGACAACUCUAGAGAUAGAGCCUUCCCCUUCGGGGGACAAAGUGACAGGUGGUGCAUGGUUGUCGUCAGCUCGUGUCGUGAGAUGUUGGGUUAAGUCCCGCAACGAGCGCAACCCUUAAGCUUAGUUGCCAUCAUUAAGUUGGGCACUCUAAGUUGACUGCCGGUGACAAACCGGAGGAAGGUGGGGAUGACGUCAAAUCAUCAUGCCCCUUAUGAUUUGGGCUACACACGUGCUACAAUGGACAAUACAAAGGGCAGCGAAACCGCGAGGUCAAGCAAAUCCCAUAAAGUUGUUCUCAGUUCGGAUUGUAGUCUGCAACUCGACUACAUGAAGCUGGAAUCGCUAGUAAUCGUAGAUCAGCAUGCUACGGUGAAUACGUUCCCGGGUCU